Molecule: ribosomal RNA, 421 nt
Filed under: Adenomera andreae group sp. ABGD cluster 3
Lineage: Eukaryota; Metazoa; Chordata; Amphibia; Anura; Leptodactylidae
Description: partial large subunit ribosomal RNA
Rfam family: Bacterial large subunit ribosomal RNA
Source: RNAcentral
UUUGCUUUAAAUAAAAGGUCCAGCCUGCCCAGUGACACUGUUCAACGGCCGCGGUAUCCUAACCGUGCGAAGGUAGCGUAAUCACUUGUUCUUUAAAUGAGGACUAGUAUGAAAGGCACCACGAGAGUCAUACUGUCUCCUCUUUCCAAUCAGUUAAACUAAUCUCCCCGUGAAGAAGCGGGAAUAACUAUAUAAGACGAGAAGACCCUAUGGAGCUUUAAACGAAUAACACUUGCCCACACUCCUUUUAAUUUCAGAAAAAUCUUCUACCUUGGCAUCAUACUUAUAAGUUUUUGAUUGGGGUGAUCACGGAGCAAAAAAUAACCUCCGCAAUGAAAGACUCUCCAUGACUAAAUCAAGAACCACAACUCUACAUAUCAACAAAUUGACACUAAUUGACCCAAUUUAUUGAUCAAUGAAC